Molecule: long non-coding RNA, 736 nt
Filed under: Vulpes vulpes (red fox)
Lineage: Eukaryota; Metazoa; Chordata; Mammalia; Carnivora; Canidae
Description: lncRNA (ENSVVUG00000028222.1)
Source: RNAcentral
CACGGCUCUGCUGCAAGAGCCAAGUCUCCUUGUGGCUUAACGGUUAUACUGCCAAUUGCUCCAGAGAAAGUGUCAAAAGAUGAUAUAAAUAACAAACAGAGACAUGUUAUGAAUGUUUCACAAUCUUACAAAAUUCUUACUUCGAAAAUCUACUCUUCUGGAGAAGGUUUCCCAUUCUGAGGUUGUUGGACCAGGACCAUGGAUAUAUUCUUGUAAAUUUUCAUUACCAAAACUUCCUGCUGCACUGGCUCUGCAGUGCAGAUGGAGGGAGGCUUUGGCUUCCUCAUCCUCAUCAUGAUGCCCUUCUGGAUUCUGCCAGACACUGCAGCCCAGGUAACGACACUGAGGCCCAGAGAAGACCAAGUCACUGGUCAGUGUCAGAGGUGGGACAAGAGCCAGGGUGACCUGGUUCCCAGGCCAUCAUGCUCUCUUUGCCGGGGUAGAGUCCACACCAGCAGUCUCUGUGCCUGGGUCUUGCACACCUAGGUUUCCUCUCACCAAGGCUGACUCUUUGACCUUUAACAUCCUCUCCCCUAGCCCUGAGAAGACCCACUCUGAAUGUUCCCAGGUCCCCAGCACACAGAUGGCAACUUUAAGGGGACAAUGGAUGUUAAGAAGGGUGAGGAGAGAUGGCAAGAAUGUCACCAGAGUACCUGGUCUGGCCACACAGGGUCUCAGUAAAAUAUUAUCUCGGAUUAAAAAUAAAUACACUAUAUGCUAACUAAAUUGAAUUUAA